Molecule: ribosomal RNA, 390 nt
Filed under: uncultured bacterium
Lineage: Bacteria
Description: bacterial SSU rRNA
Rfam family: Bacterial small subunit ribosomal RNA
Source: RNAcentral
AGUGAACGCUGGCGGCAGGCCUAAUACAUGCAAGUCGAGCGGCAGCACAGCAGAGCUUGCUCUGUGGGUGGCGAGUGGCGGACGGGUGAGGAAUACAUGGGAAUCUGCCCAGUCGUGGGGGAUAACGUAUGGAAACGUACGCUAAUACCGCAUGCGCCCUACGGGGGAAAGUCGGGGACCGCAAGGCCUGACGCGAUUGGAUGAGCCCAUGUUCGAUUAGCUAGUUGGCGGGGUAAAGGCCCACCAAGGCGACGAUCCGUAGCGGGUCUGAGAGGAUGAUCCGCCACACUGGGACUGAGACACGGCCCAGACUCCUACGGGAGGCAGCAGUGGGGAAUUUUGGACAAUGGGCGGAAGCCUGAUCCAGCCAUGCCGCGUGAGUGAAGAAGG